This is a non-coding RNA of Nicotiana tabacum (common tobacco), 1512 nucleotides long. The record is from RefSeq and is a predicted model, not a curated record. NCBI's taxonomy places the organism in Eukaryota, Viridiplantae, Streptophyta, Magnoliopsida, Solanales, Solanaceae.
UAGAAGAACGGUUGGAAAGAAACGAGAGAAAAAAUCUGGGGAAAAAGUAGAGAGGUCAGCGAUACCACCCACAAAACUCCAUCUUCUUCUUUUAAAAAAGUAGUAGCGACAGAAUGGGUAGAAACGGAGGAAGGAAAAUCUUUUCACUGUCCUAAGUCUUGCAUUCUUUUUCUUCUUAUGCAAAUCUUCUGAUACUUCUUCUAUUAAUAGUCACACUAACCAAUAUAAUUAAAAAGACUCACCACCAAAAGAGAAAAAGGAGAAGAACACAGACUGUCUUCUUCUUCUUCUUAAAAGCUCCUUCAUUUUCCCAUUAAAACCAGCAGCCCAACCUCAUGUCAAAAACUAGUCCCGGACAACCCUCAAAAUCCACAAACACCUCCCAAACCCAGGAAAAACAGCUGCCAAAAUCACCUGAAAACAGUCCCCUUCUCGAUAAAUAGCAACUCCAAAAGUUGAGUUCGUCGCGUCAAGGUCGCCGACUUGGUUUUCAGUUCGAGGCGUAAUUUAGUCCAGAUCUUAUCGUCAGUUUCUUGUGUUUUUGCUCCUUUCAAAUCAUUCACUGUAUAAAUCUUUGGGAUAAAAGUGUUGGAUUAUAAUGAAGAAAGCUUCUCGCUAUAAGAUUUGGAGCAUUCGGAGGCCGAGUCGAGAGGCAAGGGUAUCGCGGGUUAGAGUUUGGACCGGUUUGAGGUAAGUAAUGAUUGUAAAUCUUGUCCUGAGGGUAUGAAACCCGAAUUUCAAGAUGUUAUUCUUGUUACUGGCGAGGAUCGAAAAAUCGCUGGGCAGAAAGUAUAAAAGGACUCCUUCGCGAAUUUUGUCUAAUUUCUCCAUUUUUAAGACGGGUGUUGAGCUUGGAUAGUGAUUUCUCAAGAGGGAUCAAGGGUUAUCAGUUGGAUAAGCUACUUAAGCUUUAUUAUGUGUUUAUGAUAAUUUUUUCAUUGUUUAAUCAUGAUAUUAGUGGAAAUUAGGGAAGAAAUUUAGGGGAUUAGGGCUUGAAAUUGGAGAGUUUAAAUUGGAGAUUUGAGGGACCAUUUGAGGUCCGAUUUUGAUGUUUUUGGUAUGAAUAGACUCGGGAAUGAAAGGAGUUUGUAGUUUCACAAAUUUUGUUGGAUUCCGAGACCUGGGUCCAGGGCCAGGUUUGAGCAAAUUUGGGAUUUUUGGUCUAAUUUGAUAAUUUUCAUGUGGGUUUCAUUCCUUUAGUGUAUAUUGAUGUUAGCAUACUGAUUUUGGUUAGAUUCAAAGCAUUUGGAGGUAGAAUCGAGAGACAAGGGCAUCGCAAGUUAGACUUUUUGCUUGGUUUGAGAUCCAGGCAUCUCAGGCCACGGUAGCAGUUAUUGACUGUUCUAGACGCGUAUUUCAUUGGAGAUUGCGAGGUAGCUGUCUGAUGUUCGCAGCCCCGCAUUUCUCCUUCUUUACCUCCCUUCUAGUAUAUUUUGGAUAUUUCAGACUAUUUUGGUCUAGUUGUAUUUCAAAACAAAUGUAGUGUUGUUCAUGACUUAGUGACACCUGAGG